RNAcentral lists this ribosomal RNA (497 nucleotides) under uncultured bacterium. RNAcentral describes it as "partial 16S ribosomal RNA". It matches the Rfam family "Bacterial small subunit ribosomal RNA", at positions 28 to 507 of the family's 1533-position model. The record is from RNAcentral.
GAUGAACGCUGGCGGCGUGCCUAAUACAUGCAAGUCGAGCGAACAGACGAGGAGCUUGCUCCUCUGACGUUAGCGGCGGACGGGUGAGUAACACGUGGAUAACCUACCUAUAAGACUGGGAUAACUUCGGGAAACCGGAGCUAAUACCGGAUAAUAUAUUGAACCGCAUGGUUCAAUAGUGAAAGACGGUUUUGCUGUCACUUAUAGAUGGAUCCGCGCCGCAUUAGCUAGUUGGUAAGGUAACGGCCUACCAAGGCAACGAUGCGUAGCCGACCUGAGAGGGUGAUCGGCCACACUGGAACUGAGACACGGUCCAGACUCCUACGGGAGGCAGCAGUAGGGAAUCUUCCGCAAUGGGCGAAAGCCUGACGGAGCCACGCCGCGUGAGUGAUGAAGGUCUUCGGAUCGUAAAACUCUGUUAUUAGGGAAGAACAAAUGUGUAAGUAACUAUGCACGUCUUGACGGUACCUAAUCAGAAAGCCACGGCUAACUACGUG